CACGGAGUUAGCCGGUGCUUCCUCACCCGGCACCGUCAGCCUGGCCAAAACCAGGUGUUCGUCCCGGGCAACAGUGGUUUACACGCCGAAAGGCGUCCUCCCACACGCGGCGUCGCUGCGUCAGCCUUGCGGCCAUUGCGCAAUAUUCCCCA
RNAcentral lists this ribosomal RNA (152 nucleotides) under uncultured bacterium. RNAcentral describes it as "partial 16S ribosomal RNA". The record is from RNAcentral.